RNAcentral lists this ribosomal RNA (139 nucleotides) under Protolira valvatoides. RNAcentral describes it as "partial small subunit ribosomal RNA". It matches the Rfam family "Eukaryotic small subunit ribosomal RNA", at positions 1678 to 1811 of the family's 1831-position model. Lineage: Eukaryota; Metazoa; Mollusca; Gastropoda; Trochida; Skeneidae. The record is from RNAcentral.
GCUACUACCGAUUGAAUGGUUUAGUGAGACACUCGGACUGGAGUCCGUCUGCCGCUUUCGGGUGGCGGACGGGGACGGAAAGACGGUCGAACUUGAUCAUUUAGAGGAAGUAAAAGUCGUAACAAGGUUUCCGUAGGUG